AGAGUUUGAUCCUGGCUCAGGACGAACGCUGGCGGCGUGCCUAAUACAUGCAAGUAGAACGCUGAAGACUUUAGCUUGCUAAAGUUGGAAGAGUUGCGAACGGGUGAGUAACGCGUAGGUAACCUGCCUACUAGCGGGGGAUAACUAUUGGAAACGAUAGCUAAUACCGCAUAACAGCUUUUGACACAUGUUAGAAGCUUGAAAGAUGCAAUUGCAUCACUACGAGAUGGACCUGCGUUGUAUUAGCUAGUAGGUAGGGUAACGGCCUACCUAGGCGACGAUACAUAGCCGACCUGAGAGGGUGAUCGGCCACACUGGGACUGAGACACGGCCCAGACUCCUACGGGAGGCAGCAGUAGGGAAUCUUCGGCAAUGGGGGCAACCCUGACCGAGCAACGCCGCGUGAGUGAAGAAGGUUUUCGGAUCGUAAAGCUCUGUUGUAAGAGAAGAACGUGUGUGAGAGUGGAAAGUUCACACAGUGACGGUAACUUACCAGAAAGGGACGGCUAACUACGUGCCAGCAGCCGCGGUAAUACGUAGGUCCCGAGCGUUGUCCGGAUUUAUUGGGCGUAAAGCGAGCGCAGGCGGUUUAAUAAGUCUGAAGUUAAAGGCAGUGGCUUAACCAUUGUUCGCUUUGGAAACUGUUAAACUUGAGUGCAGAAGGGGAGAGUGGAAUUCCAUGUGUAGCGGUGAAAUGCGUAGAUAUAUGGAGGAACACCGGUGGCGAAAGCGGCUCUCUGGUCUGUAACUGACGCUGAGGCUCGAAAGCGUGGGGAGCAAACAGGAUUAGAUACCCUGGUAGUCCACGCCGUAAACGAUGAGUGCUAGGUGUUAGGCCCUUUCCGGGGCUUAGUGCCGCAGCUAACGCAUUAAGCACUCCGCCUGGGGAGUACGACCGCAAGGUUGAAACUCAAAGGAAUUGACGG
Molecule: ribosomal RNA, 926 nt
Filed under: uncultured bacterium
Lineage: Bacteria
Description: bacterial SSU rRNA
Rfam family: Bacterial small subunit ribosomal RNA
Source: RNAcentral